UCCCAGGGCUGUUCUCCACCCCUCUCCUGGCCGGGCUCCCAGAGAAGGUUCGGCGCUUCCUGGGCCAGCAGGUGCCGUUCCCGUCCCGCCUCGGGGACCCCGCCGAGUUCGCGCACCUGGUGCAGGCCCUGGCCGAGAACCCCAUGGUCAACGGCGAGGUGGUGAGGCUGGACGGGGCCCUGAGGAUGCAGCCCUGAGCCCCAAAACCCGGGAACCCCAAAAUUCUUCAGGGGAACCCCAAAAAUUCUUCAGGGGAACCCCAGAAAUCUGGGGUGGGAGAGGUGACGGAGAGGACGCUGCGAGGAUCAACGGGGACACUCCAACGCUGCGGGGACAAUGAUGGGGACGCUGUGUGGGGACAUUUUGUGCUGAGGGGACACAAAUCUCCUGAGGGGACACAACCCCCCAAAAGUGGGGACACCAGGGAUUUGGGGACACUCAAGGAUUUGGGGACACCUGAGGGGAUUUGGGGACCCCAAAUGGGGACACCCAAGGAUUUGGGGACACUUUGUCCUGAAGGUCCUGAGGGGACACAACCCCCCCCAAAAGUGGGGACACCAAGGAUUUGGGGACACCUGAGGGGAUUUGGGGACACCAAUGAAAUGAAGACACCCAAGGAUUUGGGGACACUUUGUCCUGAGGGUCCUGAGGGGAGACGACCCCCACUGAGAAGACAGUGAGUGGACACAACCCACCCACCCCCCAAAAUUGGGGACACCAAGGACUUGGGGACACCCAAGGAUUUGGGGACACCUGAGGGGAUUUGGGGACACCCAAGGAAAUGGGGACACCCAAGGAUUUGGGGACACCAAGGAUUUGGGUACCCCUAAGGAUUUGGGGACACUCAAGGAUUUGAGGACACCCAAGGACUUGGGGACACUCAAAGAGGAUUUGGGGACACCAAGGAAUUGGGGGACACCCAAGGAUUUGGGGGACACCCAAGGAUUUGAGGACAUCAAGGAAUUGGGGACACUCAAGGAGGAUUUGGGGGACACCUAAGGAGGAUUUGGGGGACACCUAAGGAGGAUGUGGGGACAAACCCCAGGAUUGUGGCCGUGAGGACGCUCAAACCCCUGCUCAGGUUUUGGGGGGGUCGAUCCUGAGCCUCCCCCUCAGUUUGGGGACCCCCCCCAGCCCCUCCCCCACAUCAAUAAAGCGCGUUCGCCCACGCGGCCUCCGAGCCA
Molecule: long non-coding RNA, 1184 nt
Filed under: Junco hyemalis (dark-eyed junco)
Lineage: Eukaryota; Metazoa; Chordata; Aves; Passeriformes; Passerellidae
Description: lncRNA (ENSJHYG00000001243.1)
Source: RNAcentral